This is a small nucleolar RNA of Zingiber officinale, 106 nucleotides long. NCBI's taxonomy places the organism in Eukaryota, Viridiplantae, Streptophyta, Magnoliopsida, Zingiberales, Zingiberaceae. The record is from RefSeq and is a predicted model, not a curated record.
AAACCAUGAUGAGGACACUGUCGCAAUAAAUCCUUAAAUUUAUCCCAUGCUUUAAAUAGUGAUUCUUCAUCUACUUGAGUAAAGCUUUUGAUUCUAUUUCUCAUAU